This 1224-nucleotide long non-coding RNA is filed under the name Pogona vitticeps (central bearded dragon). RNAcentral describes it as "lncRNA (ENSPVIG00000014496.1)". The record is from RNAcentral. Lineage: Eukaryota; Metazoa; Chordata; Lepidosauria; Squamata; Agamidae.
AUAGUCCAAAAAUCUUUAGUUUUGAGUAAUUUUAUUAAAUGUUAGUGUAUGUAAGUGAAGCAGACAUGCAUCUGUGCUAAACAAGUUGCUGGUCUUGAUGCAGCCUCUUCCUCUUCCUGUUGCAGAAUGAACAGCCCUGCAGCUGGCUGCCUGAGAGAGGAGGAAGCUGUGCCAUUUCAGUGGCACCAAUGUCCUUGGACUCACAGCUGUCUGUAUAAAAUACUUAUAUCUAUGCCAUCAAUAAACAGGCCAUGCUGACUGGGGAAUUCUGGGAGUUAUAAUCCAAAAAAUGACAUUCCUGAGCUCUGCAUGAACCACAUUCCUGACAGAAAAGACCUGCGAGAUCAAGACAGAAACUUAGCCCAUCAGCUCAGGCCGUAAGACUGUGAACAUAGAAGGGGGAAUAAUGAGUCAUGUGAAAAGCAAGUGGCUUAUACCAGCAUGGUUACUACAGGGUCAGUGACUUUUAACCAUGCAAAUCUCAAGCCCUCCUAAGGUAUGUUUGUGUGUGUGUGGUUUUUAAAAAAAAGAAAAAAGAAACAAAGCCCUUGUGUUUCUAGAGCAAAAUCUGAAAUAAGGCUGUGUUAAUACAUUUAGAUGGGCCAUUGGGAUCACUGGGGGGAACACCUGGCAGUGAAGCCAGGUACUGAGAAUCAAACACAGUGCCUCCCAGGAGAGAUGCCAGCUGAGAUCAGCCAAAGGAUGUGUGGUUGAUGGAGUUAUGUGUUCUGCCACCUGUACAGCCUUAGACAAGCUGGAUGGUCCCAAAGCACCACCAGAAGAAGGGACUGGCGAACUUCUAGAAAACCCUAAGGUCACCAUAAGUUUGAACCAACAUUGUUAAUUUUGGCUGGAAUCUUACUGGUGUUCAUGUAACAUUUGUGUAAUUCGUUAGAGAUAAUAGCUAAUUGGUAAGAUGUCCUGAGAUAUCUUAAUUACACGGUUGGGUGUGUGACCAGGUACACAAUAGAGACAUGCCCCAAGCAAGUCAAACACACCUGCAAUAGGUUUAUGGCUCCUAUUAAAUAUCCCCAAAAGUGAAAUGUCAAGUCCUCUGGACUGUUCAUCAGGCUGGGCACUGAAAAGUCUGAGGCUGGGAAGAAACCAAAAGUCCUGACUGAUCAUGAAGGGCAGCAUCUAUUCCCAAGCAAGAAGAAUUGCCACCAUAUAGGACUUUACUACAUAGAACAGUGGUCCCCAGCCGUUUUGGAACUGCGGACUGGC